UCCUCCGUGUUAUUCCACCAUCUUUCGUUGCCCUAAAAUUCAACUCUUCCACAAUUGAAUUUCGACACCAUCUCGAGAAAACGCAAUUGUUAAAUUUCCAAAUGGAAUUCAAGCUCUAUCCUUCUUCGGUGUCAGGUUGAUUUUAUCUUAUACAAGAGAACUCUACUUUAGGAACGUCGGGCCUCAGUGGCACCCCACCACCUCGGUGGCAACCUGGAAGAUCGUUGCGGCAACGAUGGCUGGUAACCAGAACUACUCUGACGGUGGCACUGGCCAUGUAAAGAGUAGAUGUACGAAGCGAGGUCUAGGCAGUAAGCUUGGGAAAAGCUUACGACAAGAAGUGUUUGAGCAAAAACUAGUAUUUUUGCUUGUAUCUCUUAUAUGUAUGUCACGGGGAUAAAUCUGGGGUAGUUUAGUCUCGGCAUUUCAACUAUGUUUUAUUGUAUUUUGUCGUACCUAUAUGUUAAGAUAUUUGUGAAGUUUGUAAUGAAGUGAGAAAAACCGUGGUUCUGCCGUGUAUAUUGAGUCUGAUUUGAAACUCCUUUUACUGUUCAAUUUCGAUGCAUUUAGCUUUUAUAAAAUGUGUUAUCACCUCUUGUUCUUUUCA
Molecule: long non-coding RNA, 607 nt
Organism: Papaver somniferum (opium poppy)
Lineage: Eukaryota; Viridiplantae; Streptophyta; Magnoliopsida; Ranunculales; Papaveraceae
Exons: 3
Source: RefSeq, a predicted model, not a curated record